AAUACCCAGUCGAGCGGCGGACGGGUGAGUAACGCGUGGAUAAUCUACCUUUUGGUGGGGGAUAAUCCGGGGAAACUCGAGCUAAUACCGCAUGAGAUCGAAAGAUGAAAGGGGCGCAAGUCCCGCCGGAAGAGGAGUCCGCGUCCGAUUAGCUAGUUGGUAGGGUAAUGGCCUACCAAGGCGACGAUCGGUAGCCGGCCUGAGAGGGUGAUCGGCCACACUGGAACUGAAACACGGUCCAG
RNAcentral lists this ribosomal RNA (242 nucleotides) under uncultured bacterium. RNAcentral's name for it is "partial 16S ribosomal RNA". It matches the Rfam family "Bacterial small subunit ribosomal RNA", at positions 82 to 334 of the family's 1533-position model. The record is from RNAcentral.